Molecule: long non-coding RNA, 866 nt
Organism: Corvus hawaiiensis (hawaiian crow)
Lineage: Eukaryota; Metazoa; Chordata; Aves; Passeriformes; Corvidae
Exons: 2
Source: RefSeq, a predicted model, not a curated record
UAUAAAUGGAGGCAGGUGAGACGCCCUUCACAAACAGCAGCCCUGCACUGGAGGAAUCGCCCUCAGCUCUCCCCAGCCCUGCAGCUGACAUCCAGGCUGUCAUCCAGCUCCUACAGCAAGGAAUCCACACUCCAGAAGCCCUGCUGAGAUGGGAAAAAUCAUCGUUUAUGAGCAUGCCAACUUCCAGGGUUUGUCCAAAGAAUUCCACACCAACAUUUCCAAUCUAAAGGAUGCUGAUUGGAAUGAUAUUGUCUCCUCAGUGAAAGUCAUUGGCCAGCCCUGGGUGGCUUAUGAGCAUGUCAACUAUGGCGGCCAAUUUCUGUUAUUUGAGGAGGGAGAAUAUAACUUUGUUGGUGAAAAGAUGAAUGAUAAGAUCAGCUCUCUGCAGGUGAUCACUGAAGAUCUGCACAACCCCCAGAUCACUCUCUAUGAACAUGUUGAUUAUCAAGGGAAGAGCAGGAUAAUAAGAGAAGCAGCCAAUCUGGCUGCAGGACAUGACAAUGACAUCAUGUCUUCCCACAAAGUCCAGAGAGGUGCCUGGCUGCUGUGUGAGCACAGUGAUGGAAGUGGAAUUCAGUACAUUGCUCGAGAACACGAACACCUUCCAAAUUACAAGGCAAUCAAUUUCAAUGACAAGCUUUCCUUCCUGCGUCCCCUUCACCCCGGCUGUGGCUGUUAGACUGCAGAUCCUGCAAUGCUGAGAAAAGAUGCAGCCCCAGCAAGAAAUGUGAGACCUUGUUCUCUGUCUCUGCUUGUGUCCCUUCCUUUGUGAUUUGCUUUACAAAGCCCUUCUGGUACCCUGGCCUCUGCCAUUCUCUGUAAUCUCUUUUAGGUUGGUGCCAAUAAAGAUUUUCUUGGAAGCAACA